AGUGAACGCUGGCGGUAGGCCUAACACAUGCCAGUCGAACGGCCGCACAGUAAGAGCUUGCUCUUACGGGUGGCGAGUGGCGGACGGGUGAGGAAUACAUCGGAAUCUACUUUUUCGUGGGGGAUAACGUAGGGAAACUUACGCUAAUACCGCAUCCGACCUACGGGUGAAAGCAGGGGCUCUUCGGACCUUGCGCGAUUGAAUGCGCCGAUGUCGGAUUAGCUAGUUGGCGGGGCACAGGCCCACCAAGGCGACGAUCCGUAGCUGGUCUGAGAGGAUGAUCACCCACACUGGAACUGAGACACGGUCCACAGUCCUACGGGAGGCAGCAGUGGGGAAUAUUGGACCAUGGGCGCAAGCCUGAUCCAGCCAUACCGCGUGGGUGAAGAAGGCCUUCGGGUUGUAAAGCCCUUUUGUUGGGAAAGAAAAGCAGCAGGUUAAUACCCCGCUGUUCUGACGGUACCCAAAGAAUAAGCACCGGCUAACUUCGUG
RNAcentral lists this ribosomal RNA (492 nucleotides) under uncultured bacterium. RNAcentral's name for it is "partial 16S ribosomal RNA". It matches the Rfam family "Bacterial small subunit ribosomal RNA", at positions 29 to 507 of the family's 1533-position model. The record is from RNAcentral.